GCCCAUAAUAAUCUAUAAUACGCUGGGGAGGCCAUUCAUUAUCUUCCCAGGCACCUAUCUCUAUGGGUCCCCUUUUCUUCCUAUGAUUCACAUCAUACACUUUAACACCUAAAGUCUCACCUAUUUCAAUAGGCAACAAGAAGAAGGAUGGUUUUAACAUACCCAACACACAUGCCCCUUCCCAGUCCUGUGGUAACUCCGAAUAGGCCUUCUUACCACAGAUCCAGUACAAAUUCGCUGGGGCUCUCCAGUUAGAUGUGAUGGAUAGAUCAAACCAUACGUCCUUUAAAUUGGCAUAUCUUGCAAACGGGUUAGAUGGUUCUGAGACAUUUGA
This 334-nucleotide long non-coding RNA is filed under the name Pelobates cultripes (western spadefoot toad). Lineage: Eukaryota; Metazoa; Chordata; Amphibia; Anura; Pelobatidae. The record is from RNAcentral.